Schistosoma haematobium is the source of this 48-nucleotide non-coding RNA. The record is from Rfam. NCBI's taxonomy places the organism in Eukaryota, Metazoa, Platyhelminthes, Trematoda, Strigeidida, Schistosomatidae.
AUCCAGCUGACGAAUCCCAAACUGGACGAAACGCGCGUCAAGCUAGAU